Amphimedon queenslandica is the source of this 1008-nucleotide long non-coding RNA. RefSeq lists it as uncharacterized. The transcript is spliced from 2 exons. The record is from RefSeq and is a predicted model, not a curated record. Lineage: Eukaryota; Metazoa; Porifera; Demospongiae; Haplosclerida; Niphatidae.
UAGUAAUAGCAACUGUAAUAUAAAAUUUUAAAUAUAUUUCUAAUAGUAAUAGUAAUAGUAUUAGUAAUUGCUGGUGUCAAUAAUUGUGUAUACAGCACUGUUUUACUGGUUAAGGAACCUGACUCAACACAAUCUACACUUUACGCCAGCAAAUUUAUCACAUGCUGAUGCACGUGCCUAGGCCUAUAACAUUUGAAUUUUAAAAGCUCCAAGUUAGCUUAAGCUUAAAGACUAAUGUUACUCUCUUGUAACUAGUACUUGUUUCGUUAUGAUUGGUAAAGUACUUUUGAAAAACAGCUCCCUUAGCAUGAGAUUAAAAAUUGUGCAUGGGCGGUGGAGCAGCACCCUUAAUGUACAAAAUUACCAUUUAUUGUAUUUACACCACAUGAUGGUUCAUGUAUUAAUCACACACUUCUUUAAGCUUUGUAUUUAUUAUUGCUUUUGAACUUUAGGAUUUGUCUGUCUUGGCUCCCCCUGUCUAUGGCGCUACAAGUGUUAACACUUCCUUUUAUUAGAGGGGAAAGGAAUAUAUAUGUGCGAAGUAUUUACACUGAUUUUUUUUUAAGAAUCUUGACGCACCGCACAGAAAUUAUGUUGCUUGCUCCUCAUUCCCAAGAAGGAAUUGGCAUUGCAAUUACUGGGACGCCUCGAACUGGAAAAAGUUGUUUUCUUAUUUACGUUGCUCACAUGCUAAAGGAGAACAAUAUUAACUUUGUAAUUACCAUUGGAAGAAAGACAUACAAUAGUUGCUAUGAAGAGGCUGAUAUUACGAAAGAUUUGGAUAAUUCAAGCUUUGUGCACUUAAUAGACCCAUCUUUCUCACGCAGUGAUAUUGACAUACAUGCAGCGAUUCCUGUUUUUUUGCUUCCCCAACUACAUCUAAUUUUGAUCCAUAUCAUUUAAAACACAUGUAUAAGUAUUUUAUGCCUCUAUGGACCCGGGAGGAGUUAAUGGACGCGCACUCAAAGUUCGGUUCUACAUUUCAAGAGGAUUUAUUUCUCAAUUGGG